This 463-nucleotide ribosomal RNA is filed under the name uncultured bacterium. Its description in RNAcentral is "bacterial SSU rRNA". It matches the Rfam family "Bacterial small subunit ribosomal RNA", at positions 337 to 791 of the family's 1533-position model. The record is from RNAcentral.
UCCUACGGGAGGCAGCAGUGGGGAAUCUUGCGCAAUGGGCGAAAGCCUGACGCAGCAACGCCGCGUGGAGGAUGAAGGCCUUUGGGUUGUAAACUCCUGUCGGCUGGGAAGAAAUCAUACGGUGCUCAUACCACCGUGUGUUGACUGUACCAGCAAAGGAAGCCCCGGCUAACUCUGUGCCAGCAGCCGCGGUAAUACAGAGGGGGCCAGCGUUAUUCGGAAUUAUUGGGCGUAAAGGGCGCGUAGGCGGCCAUGCGUGUCUUCCGUGAAAUCCCUCGGCUUAACUGAGGACGUGCGGAAGAAACUGCAAGGCUCGAGUCCGGGAGAGGAGGGUGGAAUUCCCAGUGUAGCGGUGAAAUGCGUAGAUAUUGGGAGGAACACCGGUGGCGAAGGCGGCCCUCUGGACCGGUACUGACGCUGAUGCGCGAAAGCGUGGGUAGCAAACGGGAUUAGAUACCCCGGU